RNAcentral lists this long non-coding RNA (486 nucleotides) under Mustela putorius furo (domestic ferret). RNAcentral's name for it is "lncRNA (ENSMPUG00000031879.1)". The record is from RNAcentral. Lineage: Eukaryota; Metazoa; Chordata; Mammalia; Carnivora; Mustelidae.
GAGCCCUAGCUGCUCAGAAUGGUUUGGUUUCCUUGAAAUCCUAUUGUGGCAGACUGAUACACCCUCCAUCCAGUUCCAUGACUGCUGCUUUUUCCAUAGGACCAUCCUCGCACCUGAAGAAUGUGGGAAUGAUGAGCCCUGCUGGAAUCUAAACCAAUCUGCCCUUCACUUCAGACUCCCAAAUGCUUGCUCCACAGCAUGAUGCCUUGUUGGGAUUGAGGUGGUUUUUUGUUUUUUUUUUUCCCCCUCUUCUUUUUUUUCAAGAGUCGGGUUUUGGCACCAUUUCUGUCGGUUGCACUGGAACAUAAGAGGAGAGUAGCUACAGAUUUUAAAUUAUGGAUGCCUUCAUCCAAUCAUUUUCGAAGGAGGAAAAACCCAAGUCUAAUACUCUCAAGCAGGACCACAGUCUCCUGGGCAUCAGUUAUCGUUCAGCACAGCCGACUCCUCCUCCUGCACACCUCUGAAGAUGUAAUCCCAGAAGGCGAC